Molecule: RNA transcript, 1308 nt
Organism: Halichondria panicea
Lineage: Eukaryota; Metazoa; Porifera; Demospongiae; Suberitida; Halichondriidae
Gene name: vesicle-trafficking protein SEC22b-like
Exons: 5
Source: RefSeq, a predicted model, not a curated record
CAUAAUUAUUGUUCCAAAUAGAGCACAGAACAUACACAAAGCAAGUACGUACAUAUCAUCAGAAGAAGAAGCACUGAAGAAAGAAGAGCUCAGGAACAAUGGCCCACCUGACACUAAUUGCCAGAGCCAGUGAUGGACUACCUCUGUCCCCAUCCAUUGUCAAUGAAGAGUCUGGCCGGGAUUAUGCUGAAUACCAACCCAAGGCCAAGCAGAUAUUCCGCAAGCUGUCGUCAGUCAGCCCCCCUCGAUGCUCAAUCGAGUGUGACCCGGGUCGUAUGGUGUUCCACUACAUUCUUGAGGAGGGGAUAUGCUACCUCGCCCUGUGUGACCUCACCUAUCCUGCCAAGCUGGCCUUUAACUACCUCGAGAAUCUACACAAAGACUUCAGUGAGCAACAUGGCAACGAUGUACACAAGGCCAGUGGACCGUACCACUUCAUUGAGUUUGAUCUCAGUGACAAAGCGGGGAAGCUGGUCUACCACUCUCGUGCCAGAGGCUAAUGGCUGAUCAGCUAAUGCAGCAUGUGAGCAUAUCCUGGCUACUGUGGAUUGGUUCUGGACUGCUAGUUCAAUAUCUGCCAAGUUUCACCAGAGAUGUGUACGAGUAUGGUAAGCUGAGGAGUGAGAGUGACUGGAGCUGGAUGAUCCCUAGUGUGCCCAAGACUCAAGGAGGUCAGUCAGGGUCAAUAUAUACAGUGUAUCAGUCUACCUCUUGUAACGAGAACCCCCUACAAGUCUAGCUUGUAACACCUAGCUAAGUACUGGAUUGUGAUUUACAAUAGUGAGCUCCCUAGCUGAGACUGUCCUGACUUGUAGUUGUUGUAAUUGCAUUGUCCCAGUCUAAGGAGGUCUUUAUUCCCCUCUGCAGGUGGUUCACCCACUUCUACGUGUGGGGGGUGGUGAGGAACUACUCUGUAUUCCUCUACUAUACCAGCCACUGUCUACUGCACACACGACUACCGCUAUUGGGACCAACAGCACUGCUGCAUUUGAAUUCAGACUCACCCCUUGCUGGCCUGAUUGUAGCCACUCUGUUGUUCCUCUGGGCCUACACACAUCAGUACCGAUGUCACGUCAUCCUUGCACAACUCAGAGCAGCCAAGAACAAGCCACAGUACGGCGGCUGUCACUGCCAAGCAGACUCACGUUUGCUAUAGACACAAGUUUGAGGACUAUCCAAACAACAGGCAAAUUGUUAUGACCAUUUGUUUAUUAGUUGCUAAUAUAAUUUAUGCUAUGUACAUGCAGUACUGUGUGGUAUCAUUCAUAUUCUCCAAUCAAAAAUUUAUCAAAUUAAUGAUCGAAAAAU